UACGACUAAAAACUAGAUCUAAUUAUGAUGCUCAGUACUCAAAAUCAUUGUAUAUUUUUCUCUUGCCUUGUAUACAUCUUUUUUUUCUUCCAUCUUAGGAAAUCAUCCACUGGAUGCUAGGAGUAAACGAACUUCUCCUUCUCAGAACUAAUUGUCUGGUGGAGAUGUAACAAGUCAACAGACGAUCCAGCCUGUCACAGUUGAUAACAGAGUUUCAUGCAUACUCUUAAAACAUCUAAUCCUCCUUCUACACAUCAAAUUCUGGCGUUGGAAUUUGAAUCUUGAGCACAGGAACAUAAGAUGGAAAAUCUAUCCUGAAGCUUUCUAAAAGGACCACCCAUUAACUCCUGCUGCCUGGAUUCCUCAGAUACUGGUUUAUGGGCACGCACUUGCUUCUGAGAGCUGCCUGCGCUCAGUGUGUUGAGGAAACAGUUUCUGAGCCUGCAAGAUUGAGAGUUUUGCUAAAUUCAGCAAGGCUGUUCAAGUAGAAAGCCAGUGUACUCUGAAUAAUGCCUUUUCAAAUGGAGGAAGAAUUGAAUUCUAGAAUCGCAUACUCCUGGAACAGUUGGAGAUGGCAGUUUGCUGAGUAUGAUUUUUGCAAGAAGAUUCUGUAAUGAAAUGUUGGCCUCAGGACACCUGGGUGGCUCAAUGGUUGAGCAUCUGCCUUCGGCUCAGGGUGUGAUCCCAGGAUCAGGGAUCGAGUCCCGCAUGGGGCUCCCUGCAGGAAGCCUGCUUCUCCC
Molecule: RNA transcript, 740 nt
Organism: Canis lupus familiaris (dog)
Lineage: Eukaryota; Metazoa; Chordata; Mammalia; Carnivora; Canidae
Exons: 4
Source: RefSeq, a predicted model, not a curated record